UACGGAGGGUGCGAGCGUUGUCCGGAAUCAUUGGGCGUAAAGGGCGCGUAGGUGGCCCGGUCAGUUCGUGGUGAAAGCGCGGGGCUCAACCCUGCGUCGGCCAUGAAUACUGCCGCGGCUGGAGCACUGUAGAGGCAGGCGGAAUUCCGGGUGUAGCGGUGGAAUGCGUAGAGAUCCGGAAGAACACCGGUGGCGAAGGCGGCCUGCUGGGCAGUUGCUGACACUGAGGCGCGACAGCGUGGGGAGCAACAGGG
RNAcentral lists this ribosomal RNA (254 nucleotides) under uncultured bacterium. RNAcentral's name for it is "partial 16S ribosomal RNA". It matches the Rfam family "Bacterial small subunit ribosomal RNA", at positions 524 to 776 of the family's 1533-position model. The record is from RNAcentral.